Molecule: ribosomal RNA, 253 nt
Filed under: uncultured bacterium
Lineage: Bacteria
Description: partial 16S ribosomal RNA
Rfam family: Bacterial small subunit ribosomal RNA
Source: RNAcentral
UACGGAUGGUGCAAGCGUUAAUCGGAAUUACUGGGCGUAAAGCGCACGCAGGUGGCUGAGUCAGUCGAUUGUGAAAGCCCUGGGCUUAACCUGGGAAUUGCAGUCGAUACUACUCAGCUAGAGUAUGGGAGAGGGCAGUGGAAUUCCCGGUGUAGCGGUGAAAUGCGUAGAUAUCGGGAGGAACAUCAGUGGCGAAGGCGGCUGCCUGGCCCAAUACUGACACUCAGGUGCGACAGCGUGGGGAGCAAACAGG